CGUGUCGUGAGAUGUUGGGUUAAGUCCCGCAACGAGCGCAACCCUUAUUACUAGUUGCCAGCAUUUAGUUGGGCACUCUAGUGAGACUGCCGGUGACAAACCGGAGGAAGGUGGGGAUGACGUCAAAUCAUCAUGCCCCUUAUGACCUGGGCUACACACGUGCUACAAUGGCGUAUACAACGAGUUGCCAACCUGCGAGGGUGAGCUAAUCUCUUAAAGUACGUCUCAGUUCGGAUUGUAGGCUGCAACUCGCCUACAUGAAGUCGGAAUCGCUAGUAAUCGCGGAUCAGCACGCCGCGGUGAAUACGUUCCCGGGUCUUGUACACACCGCCCGUCACACCAUGAGAGUUUGUAACACCCAAAGCCGGUGGGGUAACCUUCGGGAGCCAGCCGUCUAAGGUGGGACAGAUGAUUAGGGU
RNAcentral lists this ribosomal RNA (419 nucleotides) under uncultured bacterium. RNAcentral's name for it is "bacterial SSU rRNA". It matches the Rfam family "Bacterial small subunit ribosomal RNA", at positions 1061 to 1481 of the family's 1533-position model. The record is from RNAcentral.